This 500-nucleotide ribosomal RNA is filed under the name uncultured bacterium. RNAcentral describes it as "partial 16S ribosomal RNA". It matches the Rfam family "Bacterial small subunit ribosomal RNA", at positions 30 to 523 of the family's 1533-position model. The record is from RNAcentral.
AUUGAACGCUGGCGGCAUGCCUUACACAUGCAAGUCGAACGGCAGCACGGGAGCAAUCCUGGUGGCGAGUGGCGAACGGGUGAGUAAAGUAUCGGAACGUGCCCAGUCGUGGGGGAUAACGUAGCGAAAGUUACGCUAAUACCGCAUACGAUCUAUGGAUGAAAGCGGGGGAUCGCAAGACCUCGCGCGAUUGGAGCGGCCGAUAUCAGAUUAGGUAGUUGGUGGGGUAAAGGCUCACCAAGCCGACGAUCUGUAGCUGGUCUGAGAGGACGACCAGCCACACUGGGACUGGGACACGGCCCAGACUCCUACGGGAGGCUGCAGUGGGGAAUUUUGGACAAUGGGCGCAAGCCUGAUCCAGCCAUGCCGCGUGCAGGAUGAAGGCCUUCGGGUUGUAAACUGCUUUUGUACGGAACGAAAAGGUUUGACUUAAUACGUUGGACUCAUGACGGUACCGUAAGAAUAAACACCGGCUAACUACGUGCCAGCAGCCGCGGUAA